This 440-nucleotide ribosomal RNA is filed under the name uncultured bacterium. RNAcentral's name for it is "partial 16S ribosomal RNA". It matches the Rfam family "Bacterial small subunit ribosomal RNA", at positions 338 to 795 of the family's 1533-position model. The record is from RNAcentral.
CCUACGGUGGACAGCAGUAGGGAAUCUUGCUCAAUGGGGGAAACCCUGACGCAGCAACGCCGCGUGGAGGAAGAAGGUUUUAGGAUUGUAAACUCCUUUUGUUAGAGAAGAUUAUGACGGUAUCUAACGAAUCAGCACCUGCUAACUCCGUGCCAGCAGCCGCCGUAAUACGGAGUGCGCAAGCGUUACUCGGUAUCACUGGGCGUAAAGAGUGCGUAGGCGGGUUAAUAAGUCAGAUGUGAAAGCCUGUAGCUUAACUACAGAACUGCAUUGGAAACUGUUACUCUGGAGUGUGGGAGAGGUAAGUGGAAUUCUUGGUGUAGGGGUAAAAUGCGUAGAGAUAAAGAGGAAUACUAAUUGCGAAGGCGACCCGCUGGAACAUUACUGACGCUGAUGCACGAAAGCGUGGGGAGCAAACAGGAUUAGAUACCCUUGUAGUC